RNAcentral lists this ribosomal RNA (132 nucleotides) under Prolemur simus (greater bamboo lemur). Lineage: Eukaryota; Metazoa; Chordata; Mammalia; Primates; Lemuridae. The record is from RNAcentral.
GUCCAGGGCCAUACCACCCGGAACGCAACCGAUCUCGUCUGAUCUCGGAACCUAAGCAGGGUCGAGCCUGGUUAGUACUUGGAUGGGAGACCGCCUGGGAAUACUGCCUGGGAAUACCGGGUGCCCUAGGCU